AAUCUCCACACAUCUUGCGCCUGGGCAGAGGCCACGCAGAGCAGAGGAGGCAGCUGUCAAGAGAGCGAGACCUCACUGGAGGCCAUCCCAUCACCAAAGGCAGCCACCAGCCAGGCGGAUGUGGCCCUCAUCCAGACCUCCCGCCAGAUGGCCACCCACUGGUCAUUCCAAGACCUCAUCAGGAGCAAAGGCCUCUCUGCCUCUGCCUACCACACGGCUGUGCCCUGCCCUUCAGCUCUCUUCUGAAGGAGAGAGGAGACCCGUGGCAGGACCAGGGUGGGGCAUGAAGCUGGCUCUGGGAGCAGAACGGGCCCUCUGGGGGUGUGUGAACCCUUCCAGUCACAGACGGAUUUGCUUUCAUCAACCUGGUGCCAAUUUCCACUUAAAAAAUGAUAUCCAGGAAAGACCAAGAACCUAGAAAGGAAAAAUGAAUCUCGGCUCCGACAGAUAGACGGGAGCCAGAGCUUCCCUACCAUGGAGCUGACGCUGUAACCACCUGUCUUUGUGGCAAAGAUGCAAGGUGAUGGGGAAUAUUUGGAUAGGCAUGUGGGGCUUGUGCUGAGGCCAAUGGUCAGUGGAAGUGAAAAGGAUGAGGGGUGAGGCGUUUGCAGCCUAGAACAGACAGACACUGGGACCGGCAAGCAUGCAGAUGAUAGGAGCAAAAGUGAGCGACAAGAGAGCAGCGACAGCUCAAGCACAUGAACAAGCACAGGGCACUGACUUUGAUCAGCCCAGGGUUGGUACCACCUCUGAACUGUGAGAGAACAGGGUGGGGAGGGAGAGUUUGAUGGUUUUCCAGAAAGUUAUUGUGGCAGCUUCAACCCUCAUCAGGAAGCUGCUUCUGCCCCUUUGUGACAGGGAGAAGAACGAGGUAACCUGGCAAACCCAGAGCAUUAAAAUGAGGGAAUCAGGGCCAGGCAUGGUGGCUCAUGCCUAUAAUCCCAGCACUUUGGGAGGCUGAGGCACACGGAUCACUUGAGGUCAGGAGUUCGAAACCAACCUGGCCAACAUGGUGAAACCCCUUCUCAGGGCUGGGAGGGGAGGAACUGUUCUGGGCCUCUCUCCUUGGCUUACAGAGGGACAUCUACUCCCUGUGUCUCCUCACAUCAUCUCCCACUAUACCUGUCUGUCUCUGUGUCCAAAUUGCCCCUUUUUAUAAGGACACCAGUUGGAUUGGAUUAGGGCCCACCCUAAUGACCUCAUUUUAAAUUGAUUACCUCUGCAAAAACUCAAUCUCCAAAUAAAAUCAUAUUCUGGGGUGCUGUGGGUUAGGACUCCAACCUAUCUUUUUGGGGGUGGUGGGGAUUGCCUCAUAAUUUAGUGCAAAACACCUCCAGACCAGAUCACCUUAAUAACAGAACUGACGAAGCCCCUGGGAUUGAGUUUAGCACUUGCAGUUCAUGACCCAGCAGGAGUCACAGAGACAGACCCUGGCUGAGCUCGGUGGCUCACGCCUAUAAUCCCAGCACUUUGGGAGGCUGAGGCAGGUGGAUCACCUGAGGUCAAGAGUUCAAGACCAGUCUGGCCAACAUGGUGAAACCCCAUCUCUACUAAAAAUACAAAAAUUAGCUGGGCGUGGUGGCAGGCACCUGUAAUCCCAGCUACUCAGGAGGCUGAGGCAGGAGAAUCUCUUGAACCCGGGAGGCAGAGGUUGCAGUGAGCCAAGAUUGCACCAUUGCACUCCAGCCUGGGCAACAAGAGUGAAACUCCAUCUCAAAAAAAAAAAGAAAGAAAGACCCCCAAUUACAGAGGGUAGACUUAGCACCAUCCUGACUACCUCUAACAGGUUUUCCAAAAAAAUCAAGGCUCUGUGUAGUGUUUUAAGGUUUUUUGUUUAUUUGAGUCACUUAUUUAUUUUUCUUGCAAAAUAAUCAUUCUACAGGGAUAAAUGCCUUUAUUUGUAUUCCUAACUGAGAAUGAGCACAGUCUUUUGUGUUGGCUGGGCUCAUUAGAAACAAGUCCCUGAGGUCUACAAUGGGCUCAUUUUCACAGUUACUAAGUAAAGUCAACCUCUUAUGAAAAUCGUAGUUUACAACUUUAAGUAAAUA
Molecule: long non-coding RNA, 2048 nt
Filed under: Homo sapiens (human)
Lineage: Eukaryota; Metazoa; Chordata; Mammalia; Primates; Hominidae
Description: novel transcript
Source: RNAcentral